This 253-nucleotide ribosomal RNA is filed under the name uncultured bacterium. Its description in RNAcentral is "partial 16S ribosomal RNA". It matches the Rfam family "Bacterial small subunit ribosomal RNA", at positions 524 to 776 of the family's 1533-position model. The record is from RNAcentral.
GACGUAGGGUGCGAGCGUUGUCCGGAUUUAUUGGGCGUAAAGAGCUCGUAGGCGGCUCGUCGCGUCGACCGUGAAAACCCGCAGCUCAACUGUGGGCUUGCAGCUGAUACGGGCAGGCUUGAGUUCGGUAGGGGAGACUGGAAUUCCUGGUGUAGCGGUGAAAUGCGCAGAUAUCAGGAGGAACACCGGUGGCGAAGGCGGGUCUCUGGGCCGAUACUGACGCUGAGGAGCGAAAGCGUGGGGAGCGAACAGG